RNAcentral lists this ribosomal RNA (450 nucleotides) under uncultured Diversispora. RNAcentral's name for it is "SSU rRNA". It matches the Rfam family "Eukaryotic small subunit ribosomal RNA", at positions 569 to 1022 of the family's 1831-position model. Lineage: Eukaryota; Fungi; Glomeromycota; Glomeromycetes; Diversisporales; Diversisporaceae. The record is from RNAcentral.
AGCAGCCGCGGUAAUUCCAGCUCCAAUAGCGUAUAUUAAAGUUGUUGCAGUUAAAAAGCUCGUAGUUGAAUUUCGGGAUUCGUCCAUUGGUCAGGCUUAACUGUCUGUACUGAUGUGUCGGAUUUCUACCUUCUGAAGAACCUUCAUGCCAUUAAUUUGGUGUGUUGGGGAAUCAGGACUGUUACUUUGAAAAAUUAGAGUGUUUAAAGCAGGCUAACGUCUGAAUACAUUAGCAUGGAAUAAUGAAAUAGGACGGUACGGUUCUAUUUUGUUGGUUUCUAGGAUCGCCGUAAUGAUUAAUAGGGAUAGUUGGGGGCAUUAGUAUUCAAUUGUCAGAGGUGAAAUUCUUGGAUUUAUUGAAGACUAACUACUGCGAAAGCAUUUGCCAAGGAUGUUUUCAUUAAUCAAGAACGAAAGUUAGGGGAUCGAAGACGAUCAGAUACCGUCGUA